This 77-nucleotide small RNA is filed under the name Arenibacter echinorum. Its description in RNAcentral is "Flavo-1 RNA". The record is from RNAcentral. Lineage: Bacteria; Pseudomonadati; Bacteroidota; Flavobacteriia; Flavobacteriales; Flavobacteriaceae.
CUAUAGUGUGUGAGGGAUAGCAGUGAAAAGCCCACAGGCCUCAGGCCGAGGACUUGAAGCGGAUAGCCCGGCCCCUU